RNAcentral lists this ribosomal RNA (602 nucleotides) under uncultured bacterium. RNAcentral describes it as "bacterial SSU rRNA". It matches the Rfam family "Bacterial small subunit ribosomal RNA", at positions 202 to 807 of the family's 1533-position model. The record is from RNAcentral.
GAAAGAAUAUCGGAGACGGAUGGGCAUGCGGCGCAUUAGCUAGUUGGCGGGGUAACGGCCCACCAAGGCGACGAUGCGUAGGGGUUCUGAGAGGAAGGUCCCCCACACUGGUACUGAGACACGGACCAGACUCCUACGGGAGGCAGCAGUGAGGAAUAUUGGUCAAUGGGCGAGAGCCUGAACCAGCCAAGUCGCGUGAGGGAGUACUGCCCUAUGGGUUGUAAACCUCUUUUGUCGGGGAGCAAAAGCCGGACGUGUCCGGCUGUGAGAGUACCCGAAGAAAAAGCAUCGGCUAACUCCGUGCCAGCAGCCGCGGUAAUACGGAGGAUGCGAGCGUUAUCCGGAUUUAUUGGGUUUAAAGGGUGCGCAGGCGGAUUUUUAAGUCAGCGGUCAAAUCGUGGGGCUCAACCCCAUCCAGCCGUUGAAACUGGGGAUCUAGAGUGUGCGAGAGGUAUGCGGAAUGCGUGGUGUAGCGGUGAAAUGCAUAGAUAUCACGCAGAACCCCGAUUGCGAAGGCAGCAUACCGGUGCACAACUGACGCUCAGGCACGAAAGCGUGGGUAUCGAACAGGAUUAGAUACCCUGGUAGUCCACGCAGUAAAC